UGGGGAUCAAAGGUAGAUUAAAAAGACUGAUUUAUGGUGAUGAUACUACAGUAUUACCUGCUGGUAUAACAACAGUGCUCUUCUGUCUGAUGCUAUUUUCAUCUGUUACUAUCACUAUGGUGUUUUCGUUUCUUCCACACUUAGUGACGUCAUUUGGUAUUGGUGAAACUGAAAGAGGUUACUACGCUGGUUUAAUUGGAUCCGCGUUAUUUGCGGGUAGAGCUUUAUGCAGGUAUAACUUGAAAUUUUUAACUACAGGAAAGUCUAACAUGAACUAACGGUGUGGAGUUUAUAGUAACCCAAGCCAAGUGUACAAAUACUUUAUCUUACGCGAAAUAAGUUUCUUUUUGAAAAUUCAUGUAGGGAAGUUAAA
Long non-coding RNA from Hydractinia symbiolongicarpus, 373 nucleotides. RefSeq lists it as uncharacterized. The record is from RefSeq and is a predicted model, not a curated record. NCBI's taxonomy places the organism in Eukaryota, Metazoa, Cnidaria, Hydrozoa, Anthoathecata, Hydractiniidae. The transcript has 4 exons.